Hydra vulgaris (swiftwater hydra) is the source of this 185-nucleotide non-coding RNA. Lineage: Eukaryota; Metazoa; Cnidaria; Hydrozoa; Anthoathecata; Hydridae. The record is from RefSeq and is a predicted model, not a curated record.
GGAGAAGCUUAUAAAAACCAUAAAGGAAAUGAUGUGGCACCAAGGCAAACAGGUGCUUCUUGCAGAUGUAAUUCGAAGUGUAUGGAGCUUGUAUCUGAAGAUGUUAUAGAAAGUACAAUUCAGUUUGUUAACAGAUUUGAUAGUAAAAAUGCCCAAGACACAUACUUGCAGUCAUUAAUUGAAAA